RNAcentral lists this ribosomal RNA (518 nucleotides) under Bifidobacterium longum subsp. suillum. Its description in RNAcentral is "bacterial SSU rRNA". It matches the Rfam family "Bacterial small subunit ribosomal RNA", at positions 160 to 693 of the family's 1533-position model. Lineage: Bacteria; Bacillati; Actinomycetota; Actinomycetes; Bifidobacteriales; Bifidobacteriaceae. The record is from RNAcentral.
GUGGUAAUGCCGGAUGCUCCAGUUGAUCGCAUGGUCUUCUGGGAAAGCUUUCGCGGUAUGGGAUGGGGUCGCGUCCUAUCAGCUUGACGGCGGGGUAACGGCCCACCGUGGCUUCGACGGGUAGCCGGCCUGAGAGGGCGACCGGCCACAUUGGGACUGAGAUACGGCCCAGACUCCUACGGGAGGCAGCAGUGGGGAAUAUUGCACAAUGGGCGCAAGCCUGAUGCAGCGACGCCGCGUGAGGGAUGGAGGCCUUCGGGUUGUAAACCUCUUUUAUCGGGGAGCAAGCGAGAGUGAGUUUACCCGUUGAAUAAGCACCGGCUAACUACGUGCCAGCAGCCGCGGUAAUACGUAGGGUGCAAGCGUUAUCCGGAAUUAUUGGGCGUAAAGGGCUCGUAGGCGGUUCGUCGCGUCCGGUGUGAAAGUCCAUCGCUUAACGGUGGAUCCGCGCCGGGUACGGGCGGGCUUGAGUGCGGUAGGGGAGACUGGAAUUCCCGGUGUAACGGUGGAAUGUGUAG